Molecule: ribosomal RNA, 758 nt
Filed under: Ramaria barenthalensis
Lineage: Eukaryota; Fungi; Basidiomycota; Agaricomycetes; Gomphales; Gomphaceae
Description: partial large subunit ribosomal RNA
Rfam family: Eukaryotic large subunit ribosomal RNA
Source: RNAcentral
AAUCCCGUCUUUGACACNGACUGCCGGUGCUUUGUGAUGCGCUCUCGAAGAGUCGAGUUGUUUGGGAAUGCAGCUCAAAACGGGUGGUAAAUUCCAUCUAAAGCUAAAUAUUGGCGAAAGACCGAUAGCGAACAAGUACCGUGAGGGAAAGAUGAAAAGCACUUUGGAAAGAGAGUUAAACAGYACGUGAAAUUGUUGAAAGGGAAACGUUUGAAGUCAGUCGCGUCUCUCGGGACUCAGCCUUGCCCUUUCGCUUGGUGUACUUCCUGGGAUGACGGGCCAGCAUCGAUUUUGACCGUCGGAGAAGGGCCUUGGGAAUGUGGCACCUUCGGGUGUGUUAUAGCCCUUGGUCGCAUGCGACGGUUGGGAUCGAGGACCGCAGCACGCCGUUUAUCGGCCGGGGUUCGCCCACGUACCGUGCUUAGGAUGCUGGCGUAAUGGCUUUAAGCGACCCGUCUUGAAACACGGACCAAGRAGUCUAACAUGCCUGCGAGUGUUUGGGUGUAAAACCCAGACGCGGAAUGAAAGUGAACAGUUGGGACCUCUGUCGUGGAGGGCACCGACGCCCGGACCAGACCUUUUGUGACGGUUCCGAGGUAGAGCAUGUAUGUUGGGACCCGAAAGAUGGUGAACUAUGCCUGAGUAGGGUGAAGCCAGAGGAAACUCUGGUGGAGGCUCGUAGCGAUUCUGACGUGCAAAUCGAUCGUCGAACUUGGGUAUAGGGGCGAAAGACUAAUCGAACCAUCUAGUAGCUGGUU